Molecule: ribosomal RNA, 253 nt
Filed under: uncultured bacterium
Lineage: Bacteria
Description: partial 16S ribosomal RNA
Rfam family: Bacterial small subunit ribosomal RNA
Source: RNAcentral
UACGUAGGGUGCGAGCGUUAAUCGGAAUUACUGGGCGUAAAGGGCGCGUAGGCGGCGUUUCAAGUGACGGGUGAAAUCCCUCGGCUUAACCGAGGAACUGCCUGUCAGACUGGAAGGCUUGAGACCGGGAGAGGUGAGUGGAAUUCCCAGUGUAGCGGUGAAAUGCGUAGAUAUUGGGAGGAACACCAGUGGCGAAGGCGGCUCACUGGACCGGUACCGACGCUGAGGCGCGAAAGCGUGGGGAGCAAACAGG